This is a long non-coding RNA of Scomber scombrus (Atlantic mackerel), 920 nucleotides long. RefSeq lists it as uncharacterized. The record is from RefSeq and is a predicted model, not a curated record. NCBI's taxonomy places the organism in Eukaryota, Metazoa, Chordata, Actinopteri, Scombriformes, Scombridae. The transcript has 3 exons.
AGAGAGAUAGACAGGUUAGAGAGAGACAGACAGGUUAGAGACAGACAGGUUAGAGAGAGACAGACAGGUUAGAGAGACAGACAGGUUAGAGAGAUAGACAGAUUAGAGAGAGAGACAGGUUAGAGAGAGAGACAGGUUAGAGAGAGAGAGAGACAUACAGCUUAGAGAGACAGACAGGUUAGAGAGAGAGAGAGAGACAUACAGCUUAGAGAGACAGACAGGUUAGGGAGAGACAGACAGGUUAGAGAGAUAGACAGGUUAGAGAGAGACAGACAGGUUAGAGACAGACAGGUUAGAGAGAGACAGGUAAGAGAGAGAGCGACAGGUUAGAGACAGACAGGUUAGAGAGAGACAGAGAGACAGACAGGUUAGAGAGAGACAGGUUAGAGACAGACAGGUUGGAGAGACAGACAGGUUAGAGAGAGAGCGACAGGUUAGAGACAGACAGGUUAGAGGCAGACAGGUUAGAGAGGCAGACAGGUUAGAGACAGACAGGUUAGAGAGACAGACAGGUUAGAGACAGACAGGUUAGAGAGGCAGACAGGUUAGAGACAGACAGGUUAGAGAGAGACAGCUUAGAGACAGACAGGUUAGAGAGACAGACAGGUUAGAGAGAGACAGGUUAGAGAGAGACAGGUUAUACAGUUCUAGCACUACUGGGUUUUACUGGGUUCUGGUACCAGGUGGUUCUCCACGACUUGGUAGAACCUCAGAGUGAUUGAGGUCACAGCUCGGCUACGCAACACAAACACAUAAACAAAGGAAGUCGCUUUAACCCUAACCCAAUCAGAGGCCGGCAAUCUGUGACCAAUCAGAGGCCGGCAAUCUGUGACCAAUCAGAGGCCGGCAGGUGCCAGGUACUAACCCUCAUGGAGGGGGAGGUCCUAGUAUAAAGGGGGUUAGUGAUGUCAUUGUGUGUA